Molecule: regulatory RNA element, 120 nt
Rfam family: Pseudoknot of tRNA-like structure
Source: Rfam
GGCACCUUUGAAACCAUCUCCUAGGUUUCUUCGGAAGGACUUCGGUCCGUGUACUUCUAGCACAACGUGCUAGUUUCAGGGUACGGGUGCCCCCCACUUUUGUGGGGCCUCCAAAAGGAG